Long non-coding RNA from Cyprinus carpio (common carp), 423 nucleotides. The record is from Ensembl. Lineage: Eukaryota; Metazoa; Chordata; Actinopteri; Cypriniformes; Cyprinidae.
AUGCUGAGGCCGAGUUUGACCAGAGGAGUGUCUGUCUCCCUCCCUUCCUCCCCGCUUCUCCCUCCCCGCCAACCCUAUCUUUCUCCUGUCCGGUCCAACAAGUCACCAGGUUCAGUCAGGACACCAAAAUAUGUGGAGAAUCCUUGUGUUUCUGGAGAUCCUGUCACCUGUGCUCUGAAGAACAGGAAGAAGAACAAUACUGGUGAGUACUUCUGUGAGUGUGUGUGUGUGCACCAGUCGGUCUGUUAUGAAAUGCAUUCUUUUUUAAUGAAUGUUUGCAUUUGUAGUUUCAUUGAUUUUUAUCUGUGGGUCAGGUUUUAUGUUGUGGGUACCAGAUGUCCUCACUAGGAUAGUAAAGAGAUAACCAGACAUAACCUACGUUUUAUGAAUAAAUAAUGCUUCCUUAAUGAAAAUGUUUGUUUG